Molecule: long non-coding RNA, 334 nt
Organism: Sinocyclocheilus rhinocerous
Lineage: Eukaryota; Metazoa; Chordata; Actinopteri; Cypriniformes; Cyprinidae
Exons: 3
Source: RefSeq, a predicted model, not a curated record
GAUGAGGGAACUGAUGGAGACAUCAGCUGCAGCGUGAAGAACCACGUCAGUCACGCACAGAAGACCAUUAGAGUCCAACCCUGUCCUAUGUGUUCAGUGUCUGUGGUGUUCGUGCUGGUCUGGUGUCUUCAGCUGAUGGUUCUGUUGGGUCUGUUAGGAGGUUUUCACAUCUACAUGAGACACACGUCAGGAAAGAAGCAGGACGAUCAGAAAGUGAGGAUGAGAAGAUUUAGAGAAGGACAUGAACACACAGCAGAAGAUUCAUGAGAGAAGCAGAUCUUCUGUAUUUUAUAUGAUUUUUAACAUGUUUAGACACAGAUGUCUAUUUUUUAUU